Small nucleolar RNA from Artibeus jamaicensis (Jamaican fruit-eating bat), 130 nucleotides. RefSeq annotates it as small nucleolar RNA SNORA31. The transcript has a single exon. Lineage: Eukaryota; Metazoa; Chordata; Mammalia; Chiroptera; Phyllostomidae. The record is from RefSeq and is a predicted model, not a curated record.
UUGUAUCCACUGACAGACCUUGAACAAUCUAACACUGUUCUUCUGGUUUGCACUGGGAUGGGAAAGAAAAAAAUCCCUGUGCUUUCUGUCUGUGUGUGUGGCAGCCCAGAUUGAAUAGCAGACUACAUUU